This 57-nucleotide transfer RNA is filed under the name Bos taurus (domestic cattle). It matches the Rfam family "tRNA", at positions 8 to 63 of the family's 71-position model. Rfam says of the family: Transfer RNA (tRNA) molecules are approximately 80 nucleotides in length. Their secondary structure includes four short double-helical elements and three loops (D, anti-codon, and T loops). Further hydrogen bonds mediate the characteristic L-shaped molecular structure. tRNAs have two regions of fundamental functional importance: the anti-codon, which is responsible for specific mRNA codon recognition, and the 3' end, to which the tRNAs corresponding amino acid is attached (by aminoacyl-tRNA synthetases). tRNAs cope with the degeneracy of the genetic code in two manners: having more than one tRNA (with a specific anti-codon) for a particular amino acid; and 'wobble' base-pairing, i.e. permitting non-standard base-pairing at the 3rd anti-codon position. The record is from Rfam by way of RNAcentral. RNAcentral also lists the same sequence under 2 other names. Lineage: Eukaryota; Metazoa; Chordata; Mammalia; Artiodactyla; Bovidae.
UGGCUCAGAUGGUAAAGAAUCUGCCUGAAAUGCAGGAGACCCAGGUUCGAUCCCUGG